UGGGGAAUAUUGCACAAUGGGCGAAAGCCUGAUGCAGCAACGCCGCGUGCGGGAUGACGGCCUUCGGGUUGUAAACCGCUUUCAGCAGGGACGAAGGUUUUCUGACGGUACCUGCAGAAGAAGCACCGGCUAACUACGUGCCAGCAGCCGCGGUGAUACGUAGGGUGCGAGCGUUGUCCGGAAUUAUUGGGCGUAAAGAGCUUGUAGGCGGUCCGUUGCGUCGGAAGUGAAAACUCAGGGCUUAACCCUGAGCCUGCUUUCGAUACGGGCGGACUUGAGGGAUGUAGGGGAGAACGGAAUUCCUGGUGGAGCGGUGGAAUGCGCAGAUAUCAGGAGGAACACCAGUGGCGAAGGCGGUUCUCUGGACAUUUCCUGACGCUGAGAAGCGAAAGCGUGGGGAGCAAACAGGCUUANAUACCCUGGUAGUCCACGCCGUAAACGGUGGGCANUAGGUGUGGGACCCA
This 464-nucleotide ribosomal RNA is filed under the name uncultured bacterium. Its description in RNAcentral is "partial 16S ribosomal RNA". It matches the Rfam family "Bacterial small subunit ribosomal RNA", at positions 355 to 831 of the family's 1533-position model. The record is from RNAcentral.